CUCAAUCUCUAUAUUUUAGUAUAAGGGUACUUAUUUCUUACGCCAUUCACAUUGGAGUUUGGGCUGAUAUUACGCUCGGUAUCCCUGAAUUAGGCAAAACCGGAACAGGGAAUAUGAUAUCAAAACAUACUAUCCCUCUGCCCGGCUGUACAAAACAACAAAAAACCUGGUAAAACAUACACAUCAGGGGGGCCCGCUGAGUAUUACAGGGUGUGCCCCGUGCGACACGUUCCGCCCCGCCACCCGGAACAGGGUAGCCCACUUUUGUUGAGGGCAAGUGGCAUUCGUAGGUGACCUGCGGAGGGUCAUUAUGAGUUUUAAUUUCCAACCCUGUGAAUUACCACUGUUGCCUCGGUGGUCGGUGCUGGAAACAGUGCUGCCACCGGUGGACUAUAAACUCUUGUUAUUUUGUCAAAUUGAAUCAAAAUUAGAAAUAAGUUAAAAUUUCAACAACGGAUCUCUUGGUUCUGGCAUCGAUGAAGAACGCAGCGAAAUGCGAUAAGUAAUGUGAAUUGCAGAAUUCAGUGAAUCAUCGAAUCUUUGAACGCACAUUGCGCCCCAUUAGUAUUCUAGUGGGCAUGCCCUGUUCGAGCGUCAUUUCGACCCCUUAAGCCUAGCUUAGUGUUGGGAGACUGCCUAAUACGCAGCUCCUCAAAACCAGUGGCGGAGUCUGUUCGUGCUCUGAGCGUAGUAAUUUUUUAUCUCGCUUCUGCGAGCCGCCAGACGACAGCUGUAAACCGCACCUAUACGAGGCAUUUUUUAAUGGUUGACCUCGGAUCAGGUAGGAUGCCCC
This 793-nucleotide ribosomal RNA is filed under the name Microdochium sp. 3 BRM-2015. RNAcentral's name for it is "eukaryotic LSU rRNA". The stretch from base 442 to 597 matches the Rfam family "5.8S ribosomal RNA". The record is from RNAcentral. Lineage: Eukaryota; Fungi; Ascomycota; Sordariomycetes; Xylariales; Microdochiaceae.